UACAACACGUCUUCCCUCAAUGCGAAUUGGCUGUAAUGCAGUUGACAAAUAGGAGAAUGAUAUUUCUGAAACACAAAUUUGCGUUGACCAUAACUCAAAAUUGUAUCGGUGCACAGAGGGGUAUGCUUCGACAUCACAUGGUCAUUUCACAGGCUUUGUUGUGAACACGUACAAUGUUAGCACUGAAAGAGUCUCCACGCUGCCAUCGUGUGAUCACUUCACGGGUUUUGUCAUGAAGUGCUUUCUGUGGGAGGUAUAGUACAGUCUCCAGGUCCAUCAAGUCAUCUUGACAUUUUUUAAAGUGAUUGGCAAUGCAGAUGGAUGCCAGAAGAACCAGCAGCGUGCUGGAGUCAGCAGGCCUCAGGGGAUGGCUGAUAUUGGAUAUUUCAUUCAGAAUAAAUAACAAAAACAUACUCCGUGAUUUUCCUAUAUUCUUGGGCUCAGCUAAAAAUGAACAGGACUGUGCUGUUACAUGUGGAGAUGCAGACCACAGCUUUUCUGCGAAUGCAAUAGUUAAUAAUCAUGUGCAGGUGAGUGUUGCAUUGUCCACAUACUCCACUGCUCCCCAGGCCGGAUCACUACGCACGACUGGUUUAGAAACAGGAACUGCAAAAUAAAAGGAUGUUCCACAGUCAAAAUGUCACUGCUGAUAACCUGAACAAAGCUCAAGAUAACUGCAAACUUUGCGUAUUAUUCUAUUUUUUAGCCUCAGAGCAAAUUAUGAAGUAGAUUUUGCAAUUUCUUCCUCCCAGUGCAGCACUCUCCCUGACUGGAAAACAGUUGAGUGUGGCUCUCUCCAGGUUUAUAUGACUUGUGCUUUAGUAAAACGAAUCACAAAAAUAAAAAUCUGAACAUAACUGCAUGUUAAUUCAAUCAGGUGUUACAUAUAAACUACCUUCAGUGACAAUAAUUGACAUCUUCAUUUACAUUAUAUUUUAAACAAUUCUUGAGCAGACAAAUCAAAGAUUUGCUCCAGAUGAACAAGGACCAUUGUUGCAGGUGUGUAAGCACUGUGUGCUUGUUUUUGUUAUUGUGUCCUCAUUUUGAAAUGGAGGUUGAGAAAAGGAAGAACUACAGAGGUAAAGCAUUUCUGCCAUUUGACAUAUGACCCAGCAAUUUUGACAGAAUCAGGAAGUCCACAAAGCAAUAGAAAAUUCAGUUCCUUAAAAUGUUACCAAAUAUUUAUGUUAGAGCCCAUUAUGAACCAACAACAUUGUUUGACAAAACCAGAAAGUGGAGCAAAAUCUCACAAUAUCUAAUGAAACUUAUAGUACGGUUACUUUACUUUCUAUUGAUGGCUUUUGAUAAUUAGUCCAUUCAGAUUGUUACAAUUUCCAAACCUGUUGCAGAGCUGGAAUCUGCCUCAAUCUUUUGAAAUGCUUAAACAACAAUGGCUUAAUGGUGUUUUUGUGUCACCAGUAGAAAUGGCAGCUCAGUGGUUAUGCCAAAUGGAUGAGUAAGCCAGGUGUAAGGGUUUAAACUCUAGUGACAUGAGUUUCUAAAUUCCUUAAUGCAUCUGGGAAACUUAACUAGAAAUAAUUAAAGGAAUCUCAAAGGGAAAACUCAACAAUGAUGACAAUGAAACUAGUAUUGUCCAAAUAAAAACAGAGUCUCGUUUGCUCAUGCUCUUCAGGGAACAAAAUUAGCCAUCUCUACCCCUACCUGCCUAUAGUGGCUUUAGACUAACUACAUCAACCAAUACGGUUAACUCUAACUGCUACUUUAUGAUCCAGGCUGUUCCCGGCCCUCCUAUUCUGUGAGUUGCAGUUUUGUUAACCAGUCUUUGAUGUGGUACAUUGUCAAAGUUUUUCUAAAAUCCGUACAGACAAUAUCUAUUGCAUUCCCUUCAUAAACCUCCCUGUUAAUUCAUCAAAGAGAAAAUUCAAGUAAUUGAGCCAAACAUAAUGUGUCUCUCAUAAAUCCCAU
Long non-coding RNA from Stegostoma tigrinum, 1926 nucleotides. RefSeq lists it as uncharacterized. The transcript has 4 exons. NCBI's taxonomy places the organism in Eukaryota, Metazoa, Chordata, Chondrichthyes, Orectolobiformes, Stegostomatidae. The record is from RefSeq and is a predicted model, not a curated record.